RNAcentral lists this ribosomal RNA (1194 nucleotides) under Neospermospora avenae. RNAcentral's name for it is "partial large subunit ribosomal RNA". It matches the Rfam family "Eukaryotic large subunit ribosomal RNA", at positions 75 to 1402 of the family's 3401-position model. The record is from RNAcentral. Lineage: Eukaryota; Fungi; Ascomycota; Leotiomycetes; Helotiales; Ploettnerulaceae.
UUACCUCAGUAACGGCGAGUGAAGCGGUAACAGCUCAAAUUUGAAAGCUCGCCCUUUUAGGGUGCGCAUUGUAAUUUGUAGAAGAUGCUUCGGGUGUGGCCCCGGUCUAAGUUCCUUGGAACAGGACGUCAUAGAGGGUGAGAAUCCCGUAUGUGACUGGGUGCUUUCGCUCAUGUGAAGCUCUUUCGACGAGUCGAGUUGUUUGGGAAUGCAGCUCAAAAUGGGUGGUAAAUUUCAUCUAAAGCUAAAUAUUGGCCAGAGACCGAUAGCGCACAAGUAGAGUGAUCGAAAGAUGAAAAGCACUUUGGAAAGAGAGUUAAACAGUACGUGAAAUUGUUGAAAGGGAAGCGCUUGCAACCAGACUUGCGCGCUGAUGAUCAUCCGGGCUUCUGCCCGGUGCACUCGUCUGCGCUCAGGCCAGCAUCGGUUUCGGUGGUGGGAUAAAGGCCUUGGGAAUGUAGCUCCUCUCGGGGAGUGUUAUAGCCCUCGGUGCAAUGCCGCCUACCGGGACCGAGGACCGCGCUUCGGCUAGGAUGCUGGCGUAAUGGUUGUAAGCGACCCGUCUUGAAACACGGACCAAGGAGUCUAACAUCUAUGCGAGUGUUUGGGUGUCAAACCCAUACGCGUAAUGAAAGUGAACAGAGGUGAGAACCCUUAAGGGUGCAUCAUCGACCGGUCCUGAUGUCUUCGGAUGGAUCUGAGUAAGAGCAUAGCUGUUGGGACCCGAAAGAUGGUGAACUAUGCGUGAAUAGGGUGAAGCCAGAGGAAACUCUGGUGGAGGCUCGCAGCGGUUCUGACGUGCAAAUCGAUCGUCAAAUUUGCGUAUAGGGGCGAAAGACUAAUCGAACCAUUGACCUCGUCGCUACUAGGUGGUUAAGAGGUAUCUAGAGAAAUACUUAGUCCUACUAAGGGCAACACUGUCAAAUUGCGGGGACGUCCUGUUUUAAAUGCUGAACUACCGCAGCUGCCCUGAAAAGGGCGGUGCGCACCAGGUUAAUGACCUCGGGGAUGGUAAGAACGUUCAGAUAGGGAUGAUCCGCAGCCAAGUCCUACGGGGUCGCAAGACCUACGGAUGCAGUUCACAGACUAAACGAUAGUGGGUCAGGAUCUCCUGGCUUAAGAUAUAGUCGAAUCCCCUGAGAGAUCGGGGGCGGAGCUAUUCGACUCGCGCGCUUCGGUGCUGAGUCGUCUACC